This 2921-nucleotide unclassified non-coding RNA is filed under the name Leishmania donovani. RNAcentral's name for it is "gene:LdHU3.24.0710(CDS-product:hypothetical_prote in_conserved)". The record is from RNAcentral. Lineage: Eukaryota; Euglenozoa; Kinetoplastea; Trypanosomatida; Trypanosomatidae.
GCUCUCUCGCCGUCACCUCCGCAUAACCGACACCUGAACCCUUUUUCCUCGCGAUCCUUCCAAGACUGAUUGUGAAAAGUCACGCACACAAGUACUUCGCACUACAUAGACGCAACCACCGAAACACCCGUAUAGCCGAGAUACAGCGGCAAAGAGGGCGUCAUCGUAGCUGCAUCGCAGUAUUGCAAAUCGCAUCUGGCACGCACCGGCUUGCAGCGUUCCUCCCCAACCUCCUUCUGCCAUCCACGCCCUUCUCACCUCCCUCCCCUUGAACCAACUAACGGGUGCGUGCCUGACGUCAACGAUGUCUACCAGCGCAGCCCAGGCUCUCGAAAAACUCGUGCCAGGCCGGUUGUUGCAGCUUGCAGACAGCGGCACGCCGACUAUCGUAACCCCGCUCGGCAACGAGGGCAGCCUCAACGCGUCGAUCCACGCAUACAAGGGUAAGGGCUACCUGCCCUACUUCACGCACGCGGUAAAGGCCGCGCAGCGGGCUCUCGUCAAUGAGCUCCGCGCCGCGGGCGUCGAAGUGCCGAAUGGCGCUGAGGCGUCUCACCUGGAGGGCGUACGCGGCGUGCACUGCCGUGAUGAGGCCAGCUGCAGCCAUAUAAUACAUGACGAGCACAUCACAGCGACCCUGGACGAUGAGGACACCGACGAUACACGCAUGAUUGUUGCCUGCGACCCUAUUCAGACACAGCUACGGGACGACUGCGUCGAGUGCUUCCCUCGCGUGAACAAGGUGAGUGGGUGGGAGGAACUGGUGGUGCGGGUGCACCUCUUUUACCCCAACACCGCCCCGUGCAUGAGCGUGCAGGACAGGCGCGCGCGCCUCGUCACACAGAAGCACUUCGUGCCAAAGAACGCGCGCACAUUGCAGGGCUACCACGUCUUCCACUACGCCAAGCGCGGCAGCUCCGUGCGGACGCCGCACUGCGAGUCCAUGUUUCCCUACACGCCCAAGGCCACGGAGAGCAAAGGCUUCACGCGGGAGAGCAAGUGCACCGCCAUUACAGUGGAGUCGGUGUUCGUGCGCGACCCGGUGCGCCAGCAGCGCCCUUUCUAUGCUGAAGACGCGGAGCAGGUGCGCGUGUACUUCUCCUACCUGCGUGUGGGUGCCUUCGUCACGGACGAUGAGCUGGUGGAGCACUUCCCGCUGGAGUCGAUGGACGCGGCCGCCAUGCCGGCGUUCACCGACGACCGCGACGUGGAGAAGUACCAUGUGCUGGUGCGUCUGUACCUGCUGGCGCACGACCAGGGCUGGACGGCGACGCAGCCGCACGGCUGCCCGCACCCGCUCGGCGGUCGCGUGGGCCUGCCGGUGCUGUUCCGAACCUGCGCAACGGAGGUGAUCGUGCCGGACGCGUGCUGCCGCGACUCGCAGCUGCUGCUGCGGCAGAGCCUGCUUCCGGACGUAGAGAUGCAGGUCACGCGCUUCUGCUUCCGCCGCAUCGUGAGCGAGGUGCUGCGGCAGCGCGUCGUGGCAGCGGCUGCGGACACCCCCGAGCGCUACGUUCCCGUCGUCUGCUACAUGCCGCACGGUGACCGCGUGCCUGUCUUCACGGACAAGCAGGUCGGCGUGCUGGCGCGCCUGUACCCGCACCUCGGCAUCCGCAGGCCCACCAGCCGCUGCGAGUGGGCGCACCUCAGCCGCACGCUCUACCAGCACGGCAUUUCGUUGUUUGACAUUCUCGCCGCCGUCGGUGUCCCGCUUCGCGACGCCCAUGGCGCCGUCAUCGACACCGACGCCUACGUGCCCUACACCGCGGACAUGGCCGACGACUACUUCCUCGUCAUUGCCAACCGCCCGCUGCGCGACUACACUUGCGUCACGAACCAGCGCUGGCUGUGCGAGCAGUUGCUGCUGCCCGGCCACCGCCCGCACAUCAACGCGCGCGCCUUUGCGGCGUGGGUGCGCUACUGGAACGCGAUGGUGCAGCUGAAGCACGAACUGGAGAAGCAGGCGAACUUGGACACAGUCAGCGCGCACCUGGGGCUUCGGCUGCCGGCCGGAAAGACGGGGCAGCGUGCGGCGUGUCUAGUGAACGGCUUCGUGACGGAUGCCAAAGGCGGCUUGAUCUUCCCAGAGCUGGGCGGCCGGCGCUUCCGCGACAGGGAACACGUCGGUGCGCUGCUGCCCGGGGCGCCGGUGCUGUACAGUUUUUGGGUGGAUGGAAAGCUGCAAUUUACGUAUGUGCGGACGCCAAUGCACUUUGUUCGAGGGCUGCCGCCGAAGCAGGCGAAUGGGCAGCGGCCAGCGCAGAGCGUGAUAGCGGCCGGCGGCGCCCCUGCUAAUCGCGGUGAUGCCACACAGAGAGGAGAAAAAGUUGGAGAUGAACGAAGAGCUAACGUGGCGAUUCAUGCUUGAGCCUAUAGUACACCCAACAGCAGGAGACGUAAGAUCGCUGCGUUCGCCACCACCACCAUCCCCACCACCCCUACACGAGGAGGUCCGCGUGCACGGCGACGCGAUGAGUCCAGUGCAUGACCUCGGCCGCCGCGGCGGGCCCACCGGAGUGUGUGGCAACAGUCGUUGUGGCACCAUCAGGUGCAGCAGGGUCCUGCGCACGGGUGAAAUGGAUGUGGCACGACAGCGAACCCCCACGAGAGUCGACAGCAGCAGCGUGAAAGAGGACAAGAAAGCUCGAUACGCAGCCGUUUUAGCCAGCUUCCUGGAUCACCGCCUCACCAGGUGCGCACGAGGCAACCUUGGAAAGGAGGUGAAGGUACUUUUAAAGUCGUUCUCCGCAAAUCCUCCCCGCCAUCCAGCAGCCUGCUUUACUGUUUUUUUUUUUUUGUUAUUCUACGAAUCGUUCCUCCCCGCCCUCUCUGACUGUUGCGGCUCCACGGGAUACCGGCGGUGGCAAACACACGUGCUCGUCCACACCUCUUCCGCGCCUCUUCCACGGCCAUCGUCGGAG